UUUGAAUAGCUUGUUUCACAGAGGAAGGAGAUUGGCUCCAUCAUAUUUUUCAAGGUGUAUACCACCACUAAACUAAACAGAAAAGAGACAAGCUUUGCUACAAUGGGGAAAGACAGCAUGCUGCUUUAAAAGUGACAGCUACAUGCUGCAGGUUAACUACUGUAAGCUUUGCCUUUAAAUGAGAAUGAUGGAAUUCUACAGUGUAUGCACCACUCAGUGAUUAUGCUGAUAUCCUCUGAUGCUUUAAAACUCACAAAAGUUUUUUCCUCUAAAUUAUUACCUGAAUUUACUAUUUAUGAUUCAAACAAUCUGCCCUAACUAUUCAUGUAUAUAAUAGAGAUGUAGGACCCGUACUCCUAAUAUUUGAGAAGUUUAGGACUUCAGGGGUAUCCCAAAUUAAAGCCAGCCCAGACUACAUGAGACCUUUCUCCAAAAGUAAAACAAAGAUUUUAAACUCAAUGAAUAAAGCCAGUAUUAAAAACAUCUCUUCAUAUUGUGUGGUAAUGGUGUUUUCUCCUAAUAACCAUGAAAAGGUUUGGCAUUGAUGGCCUGACAUACUGCUCAAAGAGAAAAAAGAAUGGCAUUAUCUUGAAGUGUGUUUACCUGCUUUCAUGUAAAAAAUAAAGUGAAAUUGAAAC
RNAcentral lists this long non-coding RNA (638 nucleotides) under Rattus norvegicus (Norway rat). Its description in RNAcentral is "long non-coding RNA NONRATT011917". Lineage: Eukaryota; Metazoa; Chordata; Mammalia; Rodentia; Muridae. The record is from RNAcentral.